RNAcentral lists this ribosomal RNA (114 nucleotides) under Mus pahari (shrew mouse). Its description in RNAcentral is "rRNA (MGP_PahariEiJ_G0032669.1)". Lineage: Eukaryota; Metazoa; Chordata; Mammalia; Rodentia; Muridae. The record is from RNAcentral.
CAACGGUCAAACUACCCUGAACAUACAUGACAUCACACAGUCUCAGAAGCGAAGCAGGGUUAGGCCUGGUUAGUUUUGAAUGAGAGAAAAUGAAACCUCUAGAUAUACCAUGGC